GAAAAACUCCAAAAGCUUUUUAACCUUUCAACCUUUUUUCUCUCCUUCCAGAGCACCGAGCGGCUCGUCGCAUCCAAACAACCCUGGCGAAAGUGGAAAGGAGACUGGAACUGGGAAGGGAAACGAGACGCAGGACGCACGAGAGCAGCGAUUCCAGAAACGUGCUCCAAUCCCCCUGCAGUCCAGUGGCCCCCGUGUGUUUGGCAGCUCCGCUCGGGGCCCUUUCGCCAAAGACGCAGGCGAAGGGAACCGAAGCGAGCCAGGCGCCGUGAAAGCAGACGAUCAGAGACUUCUCCUACGCUUCUGAGAGAUCAUCGAAGUUUCAUCUGACAUUAUUGCUCCGACGGGCCGCACGCCGAGGAGGUUUGGUGACGACGGGCGUUCAGAUGCAUUUUCAUCAUUUCUGAAAUCAACAGACGUGAGGUGUCGGAGAGCUCGGCGUCUGUGCGGCGACGUCGCGCGCGCGCGUGUGUGAGAGUGUGUAUGUGUGUAUGUGUGAGUGUGUGUGUGUGAGCGUGAUGGAGCGUUUCCAUCGGGUGAUGGAGGAGAGUCUGGGUUUGGUAAGUGGAUCUCACAUCUCGCUGCUCACAGCUCUCUCUCUCUCUCGUCGAGGGGGAGGAGAGGCCAGAGGAUGGACAUAAUCUAAUGACCAUUUCUACACACUCUCCCUGGUUACCCUGGAGACACACACACACACACUGAUGUUGUUUGAAUUCUACAAACUUAAACUCAAAGCUUAACCUUUUUUCGAACCGUGUUGCUGUGAUUUAAAACCCCUUAAGCAGCGUUUCCCUUUUAGUAAUCUCAUGCCACACACACACACAUAAAUAUACAUAUAUAUAUAUACAUAUAUAUAUAUAUACAAUAUAUUCUGGAUCAGCUUCACUUCACAGAAAACUACAUGUUUCAAACUGUGCGAGUGAAAUAUUUAAACUCCCACAUAUUUUAUUGCUGCGCCUUCCCAUCAAAAUGGGAAUAUUCUGAAUAGCUUGUCUUUUUUCCUUCUUUAUUGUUUUUACACAUUUCCGAAAAAUUCCUGCAGACACAUUUGGCGUCUUUGGAAACUGUGGGAUUUCCACUUGAGUCAAAAAAUAAAGGCGUUCUGGUUUGAAAACCACGCUUGUCUGCGCGCGCUGAGCUUUUAAAGAGGGAACGUGAUCAAAGUGUGAUUUGUGGAAUACUCGUGGACGUUCUAAAACAAGUUGUAGGAAACUGUUUGUACAGCCGCUCCGGGAGGAGUCGGCGUCGGCUGGGUUUGAACGGUAAAAUGCAAAAAAUGUGACGAAGCUGAAGCCCACUUGCAGGGUCCUGGAAACAUCUCAAAUUUUUCCUCGCAUGAUUGGCGACUAAACGAGGGCAAAUAAUCAAUAAUCAAUGAAAAGAAAACAUUCACCCGGAUUCACCUUAUCGGUGGACUUUACGAGAGAGAGAGAAUUGUGCUUAAAAUGUGUCCACCCCUUUGUUCACGUACACAAACGUACAACAAGGAACUAAAACAAGACAGAUGUCCAUGUGCAUGAGCUCACACAAAUGAAGCAUGUGCACACAAACAACAUGUCAUCACACACACACACACACACACACACACACACUCACGGACAGUCACGCCCUCGCCUGACUUUAAAGUCAGCCGGAAGGCCUGUAAACAACACACUGGAGUUUAUUUUAAUCAGCUGUGUGUGUGUGUGUGUGUGUGUGUGUGUGUGUGGACUGUGAA
Scophthalmus maximus (turbot) is the source of this 1717-nucleotide long non-coding RNA. RefSeq lists it as uncharacterized. The record is from RefSeq and is a predicted model, not a curated record. NCBI's taxonomy places the organism in Eukaryota, Metazoa, Chordata, Actinopteri, Pleuronectiformes, Scophthalmidae. The transcript is spliced from 4 exons.